Molecule: ribosomal RNA, 289 nt
Filed under: uncultured bacterium
Lineage: Bacteria
Description: partial 16S ribosomal RNA
Rfam family: Bacterial small subunit ribosomal RNA
Source: RNAcentral
AUGAACGCUGGCGGCGUGGAUAAGGCAUGCAAGUCGGACGAUUUCCUUUUUUGAAGAAGAUGCGAUUACAUCAAGUCAACUGAUAUUUUGGAGAUAGUGGCGAACAAGCUAGUAACACCUUGGUACGUACCCAAAAGUUUGGUAUAGCUCGCCGAAAGGCGGGGUAAUCCCAAAUAAUCCCUCUAUCUAUCGGAUAGAAGGGUAAAGUCGCAAGACGCUUUUGGAGCGGCCUAGGACCGAUCAGUUAGUUGGUGAGGUAAUGGCUCACCAAGACGAUGACCGGUAGGGG